Molecule: non-coding RNA, 1736 nt
Organism: Oryctolagus cuniculus (rabbit)
Lineage: Eukaryota; Metazoa; Chordata; Mammalia; Lagomorpha; Leporidae
Source: RefSeq, a predicted model, not a curated record
CUUCCACAGUGAAAAUUCAAGGUCUCUUCCAUCUGUUGUUUUGAGUGUCUGAGGAAAUAUAAAACAUUGAUUUUGGUUUGCAGGACAUGAUCCAGAAAUUGCUGUCAUCACAGUCUAGAUUUGGGGCAAAAGGGAAAUACAAGGAAUUGAAAGAGAGAAGAAUAAAAGGACUUCAAGAGGUUCAUCUUGAGAAACUGGAAUAACAGUAAUAUGUCUUGAAUUAUUUCUGGACGGGAUUUCUAGAUUAGCCCUCACCUGCCACAACAUCAGAGUAUUUUGGAAAAGCUUUGCAUCUUUGAAUAAAAGGCUGGGAGAGAUCACUCAAAUUUCACAAUAUAGAAUAUUUCAUUUUAAUAAAACAACUGGAAACCAAUGUGAAGACUUACUUAAUAUUAACCAAAUGUGUUACAGGAAAUGCUGUAGGGAUUCAGAAAAGGAAGACAUUGCUUCAGAAGAACUUACCAUUGCUGGCAUGACCUUUACAACUUUUGACCUGGGCUGACAUGUUCAAGGUAAGAUUCUAUUAUUAUUAUAUUUGCUUUGUUUAUUUUAACUUAAUAAAAAAUGGAGGGACUAGCACUGUAGUGUAGUAGGCUAAGCCUCUGCCCGUGGCACCAGAAUCCCAUGUAGACACUGGUUUAAGUCCCGGCUGCUCCUCUUCCAAUCCAGUCCCCUGCUUACACCUAGAAAUGCAGUGCAAGUGGCGCAAGUCCUUUGGCCCCUGUACCAGUGUGGGAGACCUGGAGGAAGCUCGUGGCUUCAGAUUGGCCCAGCUACAGCUGUUACAGCCAUCUGGGGAAUGAACCAGCAGAAGGAAGACCUCUCUCUGUCUCUUCCUCUCUCUGUAACUCUGCCUCCAGUGCUGACUCAGUUGCAAUGUGAAUAAUAUGGCAACCAACAAGGUUCUCUAACUUUAGCACACAAAGGAUCUCCUGGAGAGCGUUUUGGAGGUUCACUGCCCAGGAGCAUGGCUUGGGCGCCAGAGGAGGCAGAAGGACCCUGCGGCGAGGCCAGGCCGUGCCGACAAGAGAAUUAUUUCAAGAGAAGGUAAAAUGGGACAACUUAGAGUUUGUGUGUAGUCAGGAGUAAGCAGAGACUCGAGAUUAAGGCUUGAAGAUGGGAAAGUCAGAGGGUCAUUUAAUGAGUUAGGGACCAUGUUAAAGAGUGAGUUGGUGGUAGAUGGAGCUUAACAAAAAGGAGUUAGGGAAGGCUGGGACAUAAUGCAAGCUAAUAUAUCCUUUGCAGUGAUUCCCAAUGAAAAUCACUUAAGAACUUAAAAAACAAAAUACCAAACUAUUUUCCAGACCAUUACAAUCUUUCCAUUGAAACUACAGAAUAUGUAUUGAGACAUUAAAUCCUUACCUAUAUGACAAAAAUACUAAAAUAAAGAAGAUAUUAGUACUCUGAAUAAAGAUGCUGAUGGUAGUAGACUAAUAGGAGUUAUAUAUUUGAAGAGCAAAUCCUCUCUUAUAGGAAAAAUGUGGGAAAAUACAAACCAGUCUAGGCCUAUCUGAACUAAGACCGAGUCUGUAAUUCAGAAAUCAAAGGCUUACAAAGAAACUAGAGCAAAACUUACCAAUUAUCUUUAGGCAGGGAAGUAUAUGAGCAUACAAGGAGUCUUAUAAAAUUUCAUAAAAAUACGCAUUAUAAAAAUGCAUGCUUUUCAAAAUUUUUGUCUCAAAAUAAACAUUUUAAUUUUAUUUUUCUAUGAACUUUCUGAAGUACUCUUCUAAUUU